This 399-nucleotide ribosomal RNA is filed under the name uncultured eukaryote. Its description in RNAcentral is "SSU rRNA". It matches the Rfam family "Eukaryotic small subunit ribosomal RNA", at positions 592 to 984 of the family's 1831-position model. The record is from RNAcentral.
CAAUAGCGUAUAUUAAAGUUGUUGCAGUUAAAAGCUCGUAGUUGGAUUUCUGGUCUGAUGCCCUGGCCCGCUUCAAUUUCGAAGUGAGUGCCGGCUGUGCGUCUACCAUCCUUCUAGAAAACGUUCCUACCCUUCACUGGGCCGGGUUCGCGAUCUAGAUCUUUUACUUUGAAAAAUUAGAGUGUUUAAAGCAGGCUUUUGCUAUGAAUACAUUAGCAUGGAAUAAUAAUCUAGGACUUCGGUUCUAUUUUGUUGGUUUCUAGUACUGAAGUAAUGAUUGAUAGGGGAUAGUUGGGGGUGGCUAGUAUUGGCUGGGCCGCAGAGGUGAAAAUUCUUGGAUUCGCUCAAGACUAACUUAUGCGAAAGCAUUCACCAAGGAUGUCUUCUUUAAUCAAGAAC